CAAUCGAACUCGGAGAUAGCUGGUUCUCCUCGAAAUAGCUUUAGGGCUAGCCUUGUGUAGUAGUAUAUGGGGGUAGAGCACUGACUGAGGUAGGGGCCUAACCAGGUUACCAAACUCUAUCAAACUCCGAAUACCGUAUAUGUAAGCACAGGAGUCAGACUGCGGGAGCUAAGUUCCGUGGUCAAAAGGGAAAGAGCCCAGAUCGUCAAUUAAGGUCCCAAAGAUAUAGCUAAGUGGCAAACGAUGUGAUUUUGCGUAAACAACCAGGAUGUUGGCUUAGAAGCAGCCAUACAUUUAAAGAGUGCGUAAUAGCUCACUGGUCGAGUGAAGUUGCGCGGAAAAUUACCGGGGCUAAGCUAUACACCGAAAUUGCGGAUUUACACUUGAAAGACAGUGUAAGUGGUAGAGGAGCAUUCUGUAGUAGGGAGAAGCAAAAGCGAGAGCAUUUGUGGACGAGGCAGAAGAGAGAAUGCUGGAAUAAGUAGCGAGAGCAAGGUGAGAAUCCUUGCCGUCGAAAGUCUAAGGUUUCCUGGGGAAGGUUCGUCCGCCCAGGGUAAGUCGGGACCUAAGGUGAGGCUGAAAAGCGUAGCCGAUGGAUAGCAGGUUGAGAUUCCUGCACUAUAGAUAUACUUAAAAGAUGCAAGGGACGCAGGAGUGGAAGAUAAGCGAGGAAGAGGAAAGACUCGUAUCGCAAGAUAUAGUGAAAAUAAAGUAACGAAUUAUCAAGAAGCACACUGACGAGAAAAGCUUGUAGAUAUUGUAUAUAAAUACCCGUACCGCAAACCGACACAGGUAGAUGAGGAGAGGAUCCUAAGACGAGCGGGAGAAGCAUUGUUAAGGAACUCGGCAAAUUAACCCCGUAACUUCGGGAGAAGGGGUGCCAAGGUAACACUUGGCCGCAGUGAAGAGGUUCAAGCAACUGUUUAACAAAAACACAGGUUUCUGCUAAAUCGAAAGAUGAAGUAUAGGAGCUGACGCCUGCCCAGUGCUGGAAGGUCAAAGGGAAGUGUUAGUAUUAACUACGAAGCACAGAACUCAAGCCCCAGUGAACGGCGGCCGUAACUAUAACGGUCCUAAGGUAGCGAAAUUCCUUGUCAGGUAAGUUCUGACCCGCACGAAAGGCGUAAUGAUUUGAACACUGUCUCGACAAUGUACCCGGCGAAAUUGUAGUACUAGUGAAGAUGCUAGUUACCUGCGACAAGACAGAAAGACCCCAUGGAGCUUUACUGCAGCUUGAUACUGGGUUUUGGUAAUUUAUGUACAGGAUAGGUGGGAUACAUUGAAGCAAGGGCGCCAGCUUUUGUGGAGUAGACGUUGGGAUACCACUCUUAAAUUAUUGAAAUUCUAACCUGUGAUCAUGAACUGGUCAGGGGACAAUGUCAGGCGGGCAGUUUGACUGGGGCGGUCGCCUCCUAAAGAGUAACGGAGGCGCCCAAAGGUUUCCUCAGCACGGACAGAAAUCGUGCAUAAGAGUGUAAAGGCAGAAGGAAGCUUAACUGGGAGACUGACAAGUCGAGCAGAUACGAAAGUAGGGCUUAGUGAUCCGGCGGUAGUGAGUGGAAAUGCCGUCGCUCAACGGACAAAAGUUACCCUGGGGAUAACAGGCUUAUCUCCCCCAAGAGUUCACAUCGACGGGGAGGUUUGGCACCUCGAUGUCGGCUCAUCGCAUCCUGGAGCGGAAGUACGUUCCAAGGGUUGGGCUGUUCGCCCAUUAAAGCGGUACGCGAGCUGGGUUCAGAACGUCGUGAGACAGUUCGGUCCUUAUCUGUCGCAGGCGUAGGAUAUUUGAAGGGAGCUGUCCUUAGUACGAGAGGACCAGGAUGGACAUACCGAUGGUGUAUCAGUUGUCACACCAGUGGCACGGCUGAGUAGCUAAGUAUGGAAGGGAUAAACGCUGAAAGCAUCUAAGUGUGAAGCCCACCUUAAGAUAAGAUAUCCCAUUGCACAAGCAAGUAAGAUCCCAUGAAGACUACAUGGUAGAUAGGUUGGGGGUGUAAGUACAGUAAUGUAUUAAGCUGACCAAUACUAAUAGAUCGAGGGCUUAACCAC
This 2049-nucleotide ribosomal RNA is filed under the name human gut metagenome. Its description in RNAcentral is "bacterial LSU rRNA". It matches the Rfam family "Bacterial large subunit ribosomal RNA", at positions 830 to 2925 of the family's 2925-position model. The record is from RNAcentral.